Podarcis lilfordi (Lilford's wall lizard) is the source of this 70-nucleotide non-coding RNA. The record is from the annotation of a GenBank genome assembly. Lineage: Eukaryota; Metazoa; Chordata; Lepidosauria; Squamata; Lacertidae.
GGUUGUAGCUCAGCGGUAGAACACCUGCUCUGAAUGCAGAAGGUCCCAGGUUCAAUUCCCAGCAUCGCCA